UCCUGCCAGUAGUCAUAUGCUACGUUCAAGGGCUAAGCCAUGCAUGUCUCAGAGUACAUGGAUUGACAGUGGGUCUGUGAAUGGCUCCUUACAUCAGCAGUCAUCUCAGUGAUAGAGUGUGGAUGAUGCCAGACUGCCCAGGCAUCCAAUGGACAUCCUCCAAAACCUGGUGGCUAAUACACAGAAGCAACAGUCUGCUGCAGCAUAUGGCUUUUGAAUGCUCAUCCCUGCUGGAGAGGGCCACAGCAGUGGAUUGCAACCAGCUGUCUGAAAGACUAGCGCCUGGUAAAGGCAGUAUGCUUGCAGGUUGACUCAGGCUGGUCCCAUGGAAGACACUGCACUGGCAGAAUCAUUUGUGGAAUCCCACUAUGCUUGAUCACACGAACUUCUGACCUAUCAGCUCUGACUGUGGUGUAGUGGACCACAGUGGCCAUCACGGGUAACGGAGAAUCUGGGUUCGAUUCCGGAGAGGGAGCCUGAGAGACGGCUACCACUACCAAGGUGGGCAGCAGGCGCGCAAAUUGCCCAAUGCAAACACAUCUUGCGAGGCAGCAACGAACUGCAACAAUUCUGCAGGCAUUCUUUUGCUAGUGGAAUCUGUAAUGGAUGCUAUCCAAACACAGUGAUGAGUACCAACUGGAGGGCAAGUCUGGUGCCAGCAGCUGCGGUAAUUCCAGCUCCAAGGGCGUAUACUAACAUUGCUGCUGUUAAAACACUUGUAGUCUGCCACUGGAUGCAGGUCUGCUGGGGGCCUGGGGUGACCGCCCAGUCUAAAGCUGGGGGGCACCACCCUGGGGACACAACCCCUGGCAGUAUGUCCUGUAUCCUCAAUGAUAUGAUGGUGAGAACUGCUCCUGCAAGAAGUCCCCUUCAGUGGAGACCCAAACCAGCAACACACCCCAUGCUUGUCAAGCCUGUGGAAAGCCCAGCCCAGUGCUGCAACCUCUGCCCCAGACUGCUCUCGGAGCCCACCCAUGCUGCCACCGUGGAAAACUCAGUGUGCUCAAAGCAUCCUUCUUGGCUGGAUGCCUAUCCGUGGAAUGGCAAUGCAUUGACCAGAUGUGGCCAUGGAGUUGUGCUAGCCUUGGAGCUCAUCCAGGAUAAUCUGAUGCUGUGUAUUGGAAGUGCUGCCAUGAGUUCCCUCCAGUCCCCAUGAAGCAACCAGUUACAGUCACCAACCAGAGACGAUGGGACCACUCAAGGUGGAAGAUAUUGCUGCGCCAGAGGUGAAAUUCUUAGACCGCAGCAAGAUCCACUGCGGCGAAGGCGUUCUGCAUGUCUGAGUUCGUCGAUCAAGAAUGAGAGCCUGGGGAGCAAAGAUGAUUAGACACCUUCGUAGUCCAGAGCUGUAAACUAUGCCAGCUGUUUGGUGGCAGGGCAAUCCUAGGACCCAGUCACCACCUACCCCCACUCCGAGAAAUCCAAGCCUUUGGGUUCAGGGGGGAGUACUGCUGCAAGGCUGAAACUUAAAGGAAUUGACGGAAUGGCACCACAAGGCGUGGAGUAUGCGGCUUAAUUUGACUCAACACGGGGAACGUUACCAGGUCAGGACGUUGCUGGGAUUGACAGAUUGAGAGCUCUUUCUUGAUCCUUCGAAUGGUGGUGCAUGGCCGCUCCUGAUUGGUGGAGUGAUUUGUCUGGUUGAUUCCGAUAACGAGUGAGACAUCUACCUCCCACUAGCUCCAGUCUCGUGAUUGUAGGGCCUGGAUGGUGGCCCCUCCCUCUGUUGGUUGUCCCUAUGGGCCUCCUGGUGGUGAUGCUGCCAAUCCCCCGAGAGUGCUGGGUUCCAAAGCCUUCUCUGAGGUGCUGAGCAUAAUCCCCAACAGUGCUUGCAUGCGAGAUACAACAGCAGGUCUGUGAUGCUCCAAGAUGUCCUGGGCCGCACGCGCACUACAUUGACACAGUGAAGGUGUAACCCUUGCUAUUAGCUGAGGCCUGUCCAGAAGUGGAUGAGAAACCAUACAAGCCUGUGUUGUCCUGGGGAUAGAUGAUUGCCACUGUCUGCCUUGAACGAGGAAUGCCUUGUAAGUGUCUGUCAUCAGCAGACCUUGAAUACGUCCCUGCCAUUUGUACACACCGCCCGUCGUUGCUACCGAUGAGAACAGGAUAGAGCCAUCCAGAGGUGCCAUGCCCUUUGUUCUGGUGUGAGCUGAAAUUGGGCAAUGUCAAGCUCUUAGAGGAAGCAAAAGUCGUAACAAGGUUGCUGUAGGUGAACCUGCAGAAAGGAAUCAAGGAAGGAUC
This 2241-nucleotide ribosomal RNA is filed under the name Monomorphina sp. KIJ-2012a. RNAcentral describes it as "SSU rRNA". It matches the Rfam family "Eukaryotic small subunit ribosomal RNA". Lineage: Eukaryota; Euglenozoa; Euglenophyceae; Euglenales; Euglenaceae. The record is from RNAcentral.